This 253-nucleotide ribosomal RNA is filed under the name uncultured bacterium. RNAcentral describes it as "partial 16S ribosomal RNA". It matches the Rfam family "Bacterial small subunit ribosomal RNA", at positions 524 to 776 of the family's 1533-position model. The record is from RNAcentral.
GACAGAGGCCUCGAGCGUUAGGCGGAAUCAUUGGGCGUAAAGCGCGUGUAGGCGGCCCGGUAAGUCCGCUGUGAAAGUCGGGGGCUCAACCCUCGGAUGCCGGUGGAUACUGUCGGGCUAGAGUGCGGAAGAGGCGAGUGGAAUUCCUGGUGUAGCGGUGAAAUGCGCAGAUAUCAGGAGGAACACCAAUUGCGAAGGCAGCUCGCUGGGACGUGACUGACGCUGAGACGCGAAAGCGUGGGGAGCAAACAGG